This 2604-nucleotide unclassified non-coding RNA is filed under the name Helicoverpa zea (corn earworm). RNAcentral describes it as "uncharacterized LOC124638036, transcript variant X4". Lineage: Eukaryota; Metazoa; Arthropoda; Insecta; Lepidoptera; Noctuidae. The record is from RNAcentral.
AAUCAUCUUUCAAAACAAUUUUUUUUUUUUUCUUCCACCCGCAUUGAAUUUAGACUGUUACAUCUUGCGUCAUCAUUCCAUAUCUCAUUAGUGCUUAGUUUGGAUCACCUUUAGUGUUCAUUGUAUUCAUUUACAUUUAUCAUUUAUGCAAUUUAAAUUAUUUUUACUGUGUUUUAACAUGUCAAUUUGUGUUUAGAGUGACAAAGCAAUUUAAUGCACAUUUAAGCUCCUUGAAAAAUUUUCAUAGCAAAACACGCCUCUGCAAUUUAGUCAAAUAAUUAUUUCCGCAGCGUAUUGCUACUACUUUUUUGCUAGGCUUUUUGCAUUAAGCAACAUAUUGCCUUUACUUUUUUAAUAGGCUCUUUGCGACAGUUAAGCGCCUGGACAUAUUUUAAUAGCAAAUCUCGCUUUGAAUCUUUGUUUAAAAUUUUCAUCAGGCAUUUAAAUAGAAGUUAGAUUACUGUUGUAGCUUUAUUAAAUAGUAACUAAAUAUGUCUGACAUUAAAACGCUUAUUAAAAAGCGAGCUGCGCUUAAGGCUAAGCUUACGCAGUUCACAAAUUAUUUAAAUGUAGUCAAGUCUUGCGAAAAGUUAAGUGAGACUCAGCUCAUUGAACUUGAACAACGGUUAAUUGCGUUCGAAAAUUCAUAUGAGAAAUAUGACACGUUACAGAUCAGCCUGGAAGAAGCAGUGGAGGAACCCAGUGAGCAAUAUGCGGAACGCGAGGAAUUCGAGAACUUGUACUACGCGCUGCUUGCUUCUGCGCGUCAGCUGGUCGGCAACGCUCGCCGGGAGUUGUCGGCGGAUUCCGCGUCUGAGGUUGUAUCUGGUACUUCUCACACACACAAACACACAUCAGUUCGUCUACCCAAAAUUGAUUUACCUAAGUUUUCUGGCAGCUAUCAUGACUGGCUAGAAUUUAGGGACACAUUUAUUUCCAUCAUACAUAAUAAUGAGAGCAUAGACAAAAUAAACAAACUGCAUUAUCUUCGUGCUUCUUUAAAAGGCAGUGCCUCUCUCAUUAUUGACAAUUUAGACUUUAGGUCAGAUAAUUAUGACGCCGCUUGGAAGUUGCUCUGCUCAAGGUAUGACAAUAAGAGACUGCUUGUUAAUAAUCAUGUUCAAGCCAUUUUUAAUGUAAACAGCAUCAGCAGAGAAUCAAGUAAGGCAUUACGUCAUUUAGUUGAUACAGUUAACAAAAAUUUAAGAGCUUUGUCCACUCUUGGUCAGCCUGUACAGUAUUGGGACACUCUCAUUAUCUACAUCAUGACCAGUAGGCUUGAUCAGGUGACGAAUCGUGAAUGGGAAGAGCACAGGAAUUCGUUGUCUGACCCUCCAACGUUAGACAUUUUCAUUAAUUUCAUCAGCAAUAGAGCUGACUUAUUGGAGACACUAGAAGAGUCUAGACCUUUAAAAUCUAGGUCUGAAGGCACUGCUGACAGUUAUCAUAGGUCAAAAUCUUUUGCAUUAACAUGCGAUUCUUCAAACUUAAAACUAUUAUCUUGUCCCAUGUGUAAGGAAAAGCACUUCAUUUUUCAGUGCGAUCAAUUUAGAGCUUUACCUGUUCAGGAUAGGAUCAAGAAAGCUCACGCUUCAAAAGUUUGUCUCAAUUGUCUUCGACCAGGUCAUCACGCACAAACAUGCAAGUUGAGUCAUUGUAAAUAUUGUCCUGAAAAACAUAAUACUUUGCUGCACACUGAUAAAGAAUCUCCUCGCACACAAAACAUAGUUCUUUCUGCGAAUCACCUAAAUACUGCAAAGGUUGUAUUACUGUCCACAGCGGUCGUGAAGGUGUCCGACGCUGAAGGCAACCUCCAUGAUGCCAGACUGUUGUUGGACAACGGAAGCACUGCGAACUUCGUAACUGAAGACUUCUGCCGCAAGCUACGUAUCCAUUCUUAUCCCAUUACAUCUAAUGUAAAAGGCAUAAAUGACCAGUCUUCGAUAUGCUCACGUGGCUGUAUAAUUUUAAUUAAGGCAGGCCAUAGUGAGUUUGAGAUAGAGUUGGAUUGCUAUGUCAUAUCACAAGUUUCUUCUUCUGUACCUAAUACUUUUAUUCAUACAGAUAACAUUUGUUUACCUAGCAAUAUAGUUCUUGCCGACCCUAACUUUUAUACUCCGUCUUCCAUCGACAUCCUUGUCGGAGCGGAAGUAUUUUGGGGUAUCAUAGGCAUGAAUCGCAUUCCGCUAGGGAAAAACAUGCCUACCUUAGUAGACUCAAAAUUAGGCUGGAUAGUAACAGGCGUUGUACAGCAGCCUAAUCAUUCAUUUCCUCACACUUCUUUUCUUACUCUUACAGACGAUUUACGGCUGGGUUUGAAUCGUUUUUGGGAGCUGGAUUCAGUACAUCCACAACACAAACAGACAUGCGAGGAGCGAUCCUGCGAAGACAUUUUCGUAGAGACCACCUAUCGCGAUGCGGAUGGACGGUUGCUCUUGGGAUGAACCCGUUCCUGAAGAGAUUCAGCAUGUUUGGAGUGACUUCCUACACACCCUUCCUCGUCUGAAUGAACUGAACAUACCCCGCUGGGUCACUUGUGAAUCGAGAACACCAACAUCUCCAAUCUGCAACGGUUUCGACGCGUCGAAUGUCUGAAGCAGCAUU